CCUACGUGGCGCAGCAGUAGGGAAUAUUGCUCAAUGGGGGAAACCCUGAAGCAGCAACGCCGCGUGGAGGAUGAAGGUUUUCGGAUUGUAAACUCCUUUUGUUAGAGAAGAUAAUGACGGUAUCUAACGAAUAAGCACCGGCUAACUCCGUGCCAGCAGCCGCGGUAAUACGGAGGGUGCAAGCGUUACUCGGAAUCACUGGGCGUAAAGAGCGCGUAGGCGGGAUAGCAAGUCAGAUGUGAAAUCCUAGGGCUUAACCAUAGAACUGCAUUUGAAACUGGUAUUCUAGAGUGUGGGAGAGGUAGGUGGAAUUCUUGGUGGAGGGGUAAAAUCCGUAGAGAUCAAGAGGAAUACUCAUUGCGAAGGCGACCUGCUAGAACAUAACUGACGCUGAUGCGCGAAAGCGUGGGGAGCAAACAGGAUUAGAUACCCGAGUAGUC
RNAcentral lists this ribosomal RNA (440 nucleotides) under uncultured bacterium. RNAcentral's name for it is "partial 16S ribosomal RNA". It matches the Rfam family "Bacterial small subunit ribosomal RNA", at positions 338 to 795 of the family's 1533-position model. The record is from RNAcentral.